GUAGGUGAACCUGCGGAAGGAUCAUUAAUGAAACUUGGGAGGAUUGAUGCUAGAACUUGUUCUAUGCGCUCCUUCCUUAAUCCAUACACACCUGUGCACUUUGAGAGGAGGAAUUGGCUCACGCCGAUAUCUCCUUUCCUACACAAACCCUUCUUGAAAAACGAAUGUUCAUUGGCCGAAAGGCUCUAAAUAAUACAACUUUUAACAACGGAUCUCUUGGCUCUC
Molecule: unclassified non-coding RNA, 225 nt
Filed under: rhizosphere metagenome
Description: partial ribosomal RNA internal transcribed spacer region
Source: RNAcentral